Molecule: ribosomal RNA, 220 nt
Filed under: uncultured bacterium
Lineage: Bacteria
Description: partial 16S ribosomal RNA
Rfam family: Bacterial small subunit ribosomal RNA
Source: RNAcentral
CCUUUGGGUGGGGAAUAACACCUCGAAAGAGGUGCUAAUACCGCAUAACGCAGCGGCACCGCAUGGUGACAGUUGUUAAAGCGGGGGAUCGCAAGACCUCGCGCCUGAAGAGAAGCCCGCGCCCGAUUAGCUAGUUGGUGAGGUAAUGGCUCACCAAGGCAUCGAUCGGUAGCCGGCCUGAGAGGGCGGACGGCCACACUGGCACUGAGAUACGGGCCAG